Molecule: ribosomal RNA, 446 nt
Filed under: uncultured bacterium
Lineage: Bacteria
Description: partial 16S ribosomal RNA
Rfam family: Bacterial small subunit ribosomal RNA
Source: RNAcentral
CCUACGGGAGGCAGCAGUCGAGAAUCAUUCACAAUGGGGGAAACCCUGAUGGUGCGACGCCGCGUGAGGGAAUGAAGGUCUUCGGAUUGUAAACCCCUGUCAUGUGGGAGCAAAUUAAGAAGAUAGUACCACAAGAGGAAGAGACGGCUAACUCUGUGCCAGCAGCCGCGGUAAUACAGAGGUCUCAAGCGUUGUUCGGAAUCACUGGGCGUAAAGCGUGCGUAGGCUGUUUCGUAAGUCGUGUGUGAAAGGCGCGGGCUCAACCCGCGGACGGCACAUGAUACUGCGAGACUAGAGUGAUGGAGGGGGAACCGGAAUUCUCGGUGUAGCAGUGAAAUGCGUAGAUAUCGAGAGGAACACUAGUGGCGAAGGCGGGUUCCUGGACAUUAACUGACGCUGAGGCACGAAGGCGAGGGGAGCGAAAGGGAUUAGAUACCCCAGUAGUC